RNAcentral lists this unclassified non-coding RNA (390 nucleotides) under uncultured fungus. RNAcentral describes it as "partial contains 5.8S ribosomal RNA and internal transcribed spacer 2". The stretch from base 1 to 133 matches the Rfam family "5.8S ribosomal RNA", at positions 22 to 154 of the family's 154-position model. Lineage: Eukaryota; Fungi. The record is from RNAcentral.
UGGCUCUCGCAUCGAUGAAGAACGCAGCGAAAUGCGAUAAGUAAUGUGAAUUGCAGAAUUCAGUGAAUCAUCGAAUCUUUGAACGCACCUUGCGCUCCUUGGCAUUCCGAGGAGCACGUCUGUUUGAGUGUCAUGAAAUUCUCAACCUAUAAAAUCUUGUAUUUGUAGGCUUGGAUAAUUGGAGGCUUCGCCGACGUCUUUCUUGAACGCCGGCCCCUCUAAAAUGCAUUAGCUUGCGUCCUUGUGGAUCGGCUUUAGGUGUGAUAAUUGUCUACGCCGUGGUCGUGAAGCGUUUUUUGACCAGCUUCUAAUCGUCUCGUUAAGAGACAAAGUGAAUCUUUGUUGAUUCAAUGACAAUCUGACCUCAAAUCAGGCGGGACUACCCGCUGA